RNAcentral lists this ribosomal RNA (492 nucleotides) under uncultured bacterium. Its description in RNAcentral is "partial 16S ribosomal RNA". It matches the Rfam family "Bacterial small subunit ribosomal RNA", at positions 29 to 507 of the family's 1533-position model. The record is from RNAcentral.
AGUGAACGCUGGCGGUAGGCCUAACACAUGCAAGUCGAACGGCAGCACAGUAAGAGCUUGCUCUUACGGGUGGCGAGUGGCGGACGGGUGAGGAAUACAUCGGAAUCUACUUUUUCGUGGGGGAUAACGUAGGGAAACUUAAGAUAAUACAGCAUACGACCUACGGGUGAAAGCAGGGGAUCUUCGGACCUUGCGCGAUUGAAUGAGCCGAUGUCGGAUUAGCUAGUUGGCGGGGUAAAGGCCCACCAAGGCGACGAUCCGUAGCUGGUCUGAGAGGAUGAUCAGCCACACUGGAACUUGGACACGGUCCAGACUCCUACGGGAGGCAGCAGUGGGGAAUAUUGGACAAUGGGCGCAAGCCUGAUCCAGCCAUACCGCGUGUGUGAAGAAGGCCUUCGGGUUGUAAAGCCCUUUUGUUGGGAAAGAAAAGCAGCAGGUUAAUACCCCGCUGUUCUGACGGUACCCAAAGAAUAAGCACCGGCUAACUUCGUG